GGAUGGUUGGCCGAGCGGUCGAAGGCACCCGCUUGCUAGGCGGGCAGGCAUGACAACCGACCUCAUGCUUCGCGGGUUCGAAUCCCGCACCAUCCGCCA
RNAcentral lists this transfer RNA (99 nucleotides) under Bifidobacterium longum subsp. longum. RNAcentral's name for it is "tRNA-Ser(gct)". It matches the Rfam family "tRNA". Rfam says of the family: Transfer RNA (tRNA) molecules are approximately 80 nucleotides in length. Their secondary structure includes four short double-helical elements and three loops (D, anti-codon, and T loops). Further hydrogen bonds mediate the characteristic L-shaped molecular structure. tRNAs have two regions of fundamental functional importance: the anti-codon, which is responsible for specific mRNA codon recognition, and the 3' end, to which the tRNAs corresponding amino acid is attached (by aminoacyl-tRNA synthetases). tRNAs cope with the degeneracy of the genetic code in two manners: having more than one tRNA (with a specific anti-codon) for a particular amino acid; and 'wobble' base-pairing, i.e. permitting non-standard base-pairing at the 3rd anti-codon position. Lineage: Bacteria; Bacillati; Actinomycetota; Actinomycetes; Bifidobacteriales; Bifidobacteriaceae. The record is from RNAcentral. RNAcentral also lists the same sequence under 15 other names.